CGGGUGAGUAACGCGUGAGAAUCUGCCCUCAGGAGGGGGAUAACGGCCGGAAACGGCCGCUAAUACCCCAUAUGCCGAGAGGUGAAAUGAAUUUCGCCUGAGGAUGAGCCCGCGUCUGAUUAGCUAGUUGGUGGGGUAAUGGCCCACCAAGGCGACGAUCAGUAGCUGGUCUGAGAGGAUGAUCAGCCACACUGGGACUGAGACACGGCCCAGACUCCUACGGGAGGCAGCAGUGGGGAAUUUUCCGCAAUGGGCGAAAGCCUGACGGAGCAACGCCGCGUGAGGGAUGAAGGCCUCUGGGCUGUAAACCUCUUUUCUCAAGGAAGAAGACAUGACGGUACUUGAGGAAUAAGCCACGGCUAAUUCCGUGCCAGCAGCCGCGGUAAUACGGGAGUGGCAAGCGUUAUCCGGGAAUUAUUGGGCGUAAAGCGUCCGCAGGCGGCCUUGUAAGUCUGUCGUUAAAGCGUGGAGCUUAACUCCAUUUCAGCGAUGGAAACUACAAGGCUUGAGUGUGGUAGGGGCAGAGGGAAUUCCCGGUGUAGCGGUGAAAUGCGUAGAUAUCGGGAAGAACACCAGUGGCGAAGGCGCUCUGCUGGGCCAUAACUGACGCUCAUGGACGAAAGCCAGGGGAGCGAAAGGGAUUAGAUACCCCUGUAGUCCUGGCCGUAAACGAUGAACACUAGGUGUCGGGGGAAUCGACCCCCUCGGUGUCGUAGCUAACGCGUUAAGUGUUCCGCCUGGGGAGUACGCACGCAAGUGUGAAACUCAAAGGAAUUGACGGGGGCCCGCACAAGCGGUGGAGUAUGUGGUUUAAUUCGAUGCAACGCGAAGAACCUUACCAGGGUUUGACAUCCUGCGAAUCCCUUGGAAACGAGGGAGUGCCUUCGGGAGCGCAGAGACAGGUGGUGCAUGGCUGUCGUCAGCUCGUGUCGUGAGAUGUUGGGUUAAGUCCCGCAACGAGCGCAACCCACGUCUUUAGUUGCCAGCAUUCAGUUGGGCACUCUAGAGAGACCGCCGGUGAUAAACCGGAGGAAGGUGUGGAUGACGUCAAGUCAUCGUGCCCCUUACAUCCUGGGCUACACACGUACUACAAUGCUACGGACAAAGGGUUGCAAGCUCGCGAGAGUUAGCUAAUCCCAUAAACCGUGGCUCAGUUCAGAUCGUAGGCUGCAACUCGCCUGCAUGAAG
RNAcentral lists this ribosomal RNA (1188 nucleotides) under Synechococcus sp. BN39. Its description in RNAcentral is "bacterial SSU rRNA". It matches the Rfam family "Bacterial small subunit ribosomal RNA", at positions 103 to 1325 of the family's 1533-position model. The record is from RNAcentral. Lineage: Bacteria; Bacillati; Cyanobacteriota; Cyanophyceae; Synechococcales; Synechococcaceae.